This is an RNA transcript of Orcinus orca (killer whale), 1736 nucleotides long. It is a transcript of the gene named probable global transcription activator SNF2L2, with no coding region annotated. The transcript has 3 exons. NCBI's taxonomy places the organism in Eukaryota, Metazoa, Chordata, Mammalia, Artiodactyla, Delphinidae. The record is from RefSeq and is a predicted model, not a curated record.
GAUGAGCACAGCAUGCAAUACAGUGCCAGGGGCUCCCAGUCCUACUUCACCGUGGCCCAUGCCAUCUCUGAAAGGGUGGAGAAACAGUCGGCCCUCCUCUUCAAUGGGACCCUGAAGCAUUAUCAGCUCCAGGGCCUGGAAUGGAUGGUUUCUCUGUAUGAUAACAAUUUGAACAGAAUCUUUGCCGAUGAAAUGGGGCUGGGAAAGACAAUACAGACCAUUGCACUCAUCACUUAUCUGAUGGAUCACAAAAGACUCAAUGGCCCCUAUCUCAUCAUUGUCCCCCUUUCGACUCUAACUGGACGUAUGAAUUUGACAAAGGCUCCUUCUGUGGUGAAAAUUCCUUACAAGGGCACCCCGCCAUGCGUCGCUCCCUUGUCCCCAGUUACGGAGUGGCAAAUUCAAUGCCCUCCUGACUACUUAUGAGUACAUUUUAAAGACAAGCACAUUCUUGCAAAGACUCGGUGGAAAUACAUGAUAGUGGACGAAGGCCACCAAAUGAAGAAUCACCACUGCAAGCUGACUCAGGUCCUGAACACUCACUAUGUGGCCCCCAGAAGGAUCCUCUUGACUGGGAUCCCCCUGCAGAAUAAGUUCCCGGAACUCUGGGCCCUCCUCAACUUCCUCCUUCCUACAAUUUUUAAGAGCUGCAGCGUGUUUGAGCAGUGGUUUAAUGCUCCAUUUGCCAUGACUGGAGAGAGAGUGGACUUAAAUGAAGAAGAAACUAUAUUGAUCAUCAGGCAUCUGCAUAAGGUGUUGAGACCAUUUUUACUGAGGAGACUGAAGAAAGAAGUUGAAUCCCAGCUUCCAGAAAAAGUUGAAUAUGUGAUCAAGUGUGACAUGUCAGCUCUGCAGAAGAUUCUGUAUCGCCAUAUGCAAGUCAAAGGGAUCCUUCUCACAGAUAGUUCGGAGAAAGAUAAGAAGGGGAAAGGAGGUGCUAAGACAUUUAUGAACGCUAUCAUGCAGUUGAGAAAAGUCUGCAAUCAUGCAUAUAUGUUUCAGCACAUUGAGGAAUCCUUUGCUGAACACCUGGGCUUUUCAAAUGGGGUCAUCAAUGGGUCUGAGCUGCAUCGGGCCUCAGGAAGUUUGACCUACUUGAUCGUAUCCUACCAACAUUGAGAACGACUGAUCACCGCGUCCUGCUUUUCUGCCAGAUGACGUCUCUCAUGACCAUCAUGGAGGAUUAUUUUGCUUUUCGGAACUUCCUUUACCUGCGCCUUGAUGGCACCACCAAUUCUGAAGAUCAUGCUGCUUUGCUGAAGAAAUUCAAUCAACCUCUGUCCCGGUAUUUCAUUUUCUUGCUGAGCACAAGAGCUGGAGGCCUGGGCUUAAAUCUCCCGGCAGCUGAUACCAUGGUCAUUUUUGACAGCGACUGGAAUCCUCCUUAGGACCUGCUAGCACAAGACCACAUCCACCGCAUCGGCCAGCAGAACAACGUCCGCGUGCUGAGACUCUUCACCGUGAAUAGUGUGGAGGAAAAGAUCCUCACAGCCGCAAAGUACAAGCUUAUUCUUUUUGUUGCAGUGAAGAGGAAAUUGUCCUCCAGAGAGGUAGAUCUGCCCAAGGUCGUCACAUCAUCGAGGAAAUGCCACCACCCUGCCAUGGGGAAAGUGCAGUCUUCCCCCAACGCAGCUCACCCUCAGCACUCUGAAACCUGUGGAAGACAUGUGUCCAUUGGACCCCCAAUUCUCCACUGUCAAGCUCUGCAGGAAGCACCUGGCCAUCCUCCUCCAUGA